RNA transcript from Chelmon rostratus (copperband butterflyfish), 5273 nucleotides. It is a transcript of the gene named Fas-activated serine/threonine kinase, with no coding region annotated. The record is from RefSeq and is a predicted model, not a curated record. The transcript is spliced from 12 exons. NCBI's taxonomy places the organism in Eukaryota, Metazoa, Chordata, Actinopteri, Chaetodontiformes, Chaetodontidae.
GAGCAGGAUGGCGUCUGCGGGCUGUGUGGAGGAGUAAAUCGGCUGACCGCUGACUGUUUCCCCGGUGGACCCGCACUCUCAGCGGCCUCACGUGUUUCAGCAGAGCGGAGCAGCUGGUGUUUCUGAGCUAUGAGGACUGGUGUGCUGUUGCCUCCAGGCAGCCUGGCUGUUGGACUAUGCUGUAUUUGUCCACUGGGUGGCGCCUCCUGAGCCAAGCUCACCGCCUCCCUCCCUGCUCCCCCUGCCCCGCUGCUCAGUCUGUCACUAUGUACGCCACCCGCCUUUACAGCACUGCGGGGGGAGGAGGAGGAGGAGGAGGGGGAGGGGGAGGGGGUGGGGUUAAACAGGGGCGAAGGGCGGGGCUGGCCAUGCUCGAGGCACCCCACCCCCCUCACCCGCACCUCCCUCACCACCCACACGCAGCCCCGCCUCCCCCCGCCUACCCGCUGUACCAGGGCCGCCCCGAUGCCCAUCGAGGAGCUCACUUCCACCACCACUAUCAUCCCCAUCCUCACCCGCAGCCCGCCCACAUGGCCCCGCCCCCACUCCCUCCCCACUACCAGCCCCACACCCACUUCCAUUCAUAUGGAGGGGGGGCUCCGGCUGGAGGGGCUGCUGCUGCCGGCAGCAAGAAGAAGACAUGGAACUUCAUCCACGAGAAGAUGAGCUACGACACGUUCUUCACCAUGAAGCGCCUGAUUGAGCGCUCGCGGCGUCCAGAUGAGGUACUGCGCUGGGUCACCCAGAACCCUGCCAAGAUCUCCCACAACCACUACCCCGUGGCCCUGCAGAAGAUCGGACAGCUGCUACAGGCCACGCCGCUACCACGAGGCGCAGGCGACGACACGGACACCGAGGCGGCAGGAGCAGGAGGACCAGAGGGGGGCGACAGACGUCAGAUCCUGGAGCAUCAGGACUUUCAGACCCUUUGCAACGCCAUCGUCACUGAUUGUGCCAAGUUUGACAACUUCAGCAUCGUCAACUGUCUGUAUGCUGUGGCAGCACUCGGUCUUCCCAGUGACUCUCAGGUGGUCCAGGUGUUGGAGGCAGAGUCUCAGUCCCGACUGAACCAGUUUAACCAGAAGGACGUGUCCAUGGUGUUCAGCUCCAGCAUGAAGCUCCACCCCGGUAGCCAGCACCCUCUGACUGAGGCCUGCCUGGCCGGCCUGGAGAAGAAUCUGGAGAGAGAGCGCCACCCACAGACGCUCUUCCUGCUGCUCUCAUACUACAGACUCAAGUGGCGCUCACUGCAGCUGCAGGAACCUGCUGCUGCUGCAGGGGGCUCUAAUGCUGCUACUGCUAACAAUAACAACACACCAAACCCUGAACAACUGCUCGCCAACAGGAAGAUCUUGCGUCUGGUCAAACAUACCCUGGCGAGUGUCAGUGGUGUUCGUGACCAGGAGAUGGCGCUGUUGGAUGAGAUGUUGGCGGCGUGCGCUCGGGAGGCAAGCAACAAGAGUCUGGAGUUGAUCUUCAGCUCCCACCUGUUCUACCAGAACAGACAGGAGAGGUUCAUCAGCAGCCUGGCAGAGGAGCUGCCAAAGAAGGCGGACAGCAUCACUCCAUACACAAUGGCUCUGAUCGCCAAAUACAUCGCUCGCCAUCGACUGAGAGAGACGCGACUGCUCGACACCAUUGCAGACUUCCUCGUGAAGAAGGCAGAGUACCUGGACAGCAAGGUGAUCCAGAAGCUGGUGUUCCCGUUCAGCAGGAUGAGUUACCGUCCGUCCAACGAUCAGCAGUUCUUCUCUCGGUUGGAGGAGGUCGUAGAGCUGAAGGCGCUCAGCUCGCCGCUCGCCACCGUCAACAUUCUGAUGUCUCUGUUCCAGCUGGGACAUUUUCCCGGCCUGGUCCUGCACAGAGUCUUCUCCUCCGCCUUCAUCAGCAACGUCACCAACAGUCCGUAUGCUUUGAUUGUCCGGCGAUACCUGUCUCUGCUGGAUGCUGCUGUGGAGCUUGAGUACCAUGAGUACACUGGACCACGACUGCAGGAUGCCCACAAGGUCCUGAUGUUUGAUCACGCGCUGACUGCUGAUGAGGUCAACCGCAAGUACAGUUAUAAAGGUCUGGUGGCUGAGGCUCUGCGACAGCUGGUUGGAGAACAGAACUAUAAACAGGACGAAGUACUCCCCCCUGGAUAUUACACAGACUUUGUGUUGUGGAUGGACAGUUCUGGUCGGGUUCUACCCAUCAGGACUGGAGCUGGUCUGGCUCUCAGCAUCAUUCCUCCAUCCUGCGUCACUGUAGCAUCCAAGCCAGCUGAUGGCAGUGUUGCCGUGGUAACUUCAGAGUUCCAGAAGUUCUCUCCAUUCGCAACGCUGGAGGAGGGUGCCGAGCAGCCAUGUCAGGUGGGCGAGGCGAUGGGGGCGCCCAUGGAGCCCAGGUCCUUCCUGCCCCACCACAUUCGUAGCACGGCAGGGGCCACAGCAGCCUCAGGCCCCCAGCGGCCCGGGACUAACAGCGGCCCCUUGGACUAUGGCCCCUACUAUGUCCCUGCAGCAGACUACUACUCAAGUCUAGCAAAGGAGCACUCUCUGGAGAGCCAGGAUAGCUCCACGCUCAGCAGCCCCCCCUCUGAUGGCCUGGCCCAGCCUGGAGCCCAAGGACCUGCAGGGGCAACAGCCCCAGACUCACUCUUCCAGUUUUCCAUUGGGAAGAUUCUGGAGGACGAGGGGGGGGCAGGGGGCCAAGGGACAGACUGCGAGCUGCCAGGAUUCUAUGAAGGCGUGACAUAUUCUGAGGGCUCUGGGACUGACAGAGGACCCCCAUCACCAUCACAGAUCCAGCCCCCCAGCAGGCCUGACGCAGAGAGCCCUCAAACAGACCAGAGGCAGCUCAGGAGGGUCAUCAUGUCUGUCAAUGAUAAGUGGCAUUACUGCCACAACUCUGAGGUUCUGGUCGGUUCGCGGGCCAUGAGGGACCGACAUCUGAGGCUGCUGGGAUACAUCAUCUUACAGGUCAUGGUGGCAGCAUGCUAAGCAAAGUAGCUGAUACCCCUGCCUAUCAUCAUCCUACACCACCUCCUGUGGGACCCUGAGAUGUUCCCAGGCAUAAUGGGACAUGAAAUCGCUCCAGUCUGUACUUGGUCUGUCAAUUGGGUCUCCUCCUACAUGGAUAGGCCUGGAACACCCCCACAGGGAUGCAUCCAAAUAAAAUGCCCGAUGCGCCUCAGCUGACUCCUUUGAACAUGAAAGAGCAGUGGUCCUCCUCCGUGCUCCUCUUGUAUAUCUGAGCUCCUAAGCCUGUCUCAGCGGCUGAGACCAGACACCCUGCAGAGGAAACUGCUUUUAUCCUACAUGUCACUGUUUCAGUCAUGACCCAGCGGUCAUUCCCACAGGUGAUAGUUGGAACAUAAAGUACAUCAUCAGGUAAAUCAAGAUCGGCUCCCACGCAGUCUGAUAUAAGACUUGCCCUCACUGGGGCACAAGACCCUGACAUAAUUGAACUCCUUCACUAGGGGCAGCGACUUCCUCCAACUAGAGACUGGAUACCCGACCCAAGCCGGGUUUGUGUCGACCGGGCGGGAUUGUUUAAUCUACCUGUACAAACCAAUGCCUUUUGACUGUCAUUAACAAGGUGCCAACACACGUGUCUAACCCUAACCACAGGCCAGCCGUAACCGUGGUAUCAAAUGUGGAACAGGAUAACACAACGUGGUGCUUCAUCCUACAUUAACUGCAUCAAGCUCUGAGGCCGGAGACCCGCAGCCGGAGCUGCCGUACCACGAGCUGGAGAAGCUGAACGGCAUCGAGGAGGUGAAGCAGUACCUACACAAGAAGCUGCUGGACAUCCCGCUAUGACGCUGUGUGUGUGUGUGUGUGUUUGUGUGUGUGUGUGUGUGAUGUCACAGCCGCUGUGGUUAUGUGGUUGAAUCAGGAUCAGAGGUCAGCAGUUUGUUCGCCCUCUGAACCUUUCAGUCAAACAUCUGGGUGAAAAGAGCAACGACAUCCUCGCAUUAAUGUUUUGUUUAUUCAGAUUAAAGCUGCAACUAACCAUUAUUUUAUCAGUAAAUCUGCUAAUUCAUUAUUAAUCAGUCUCAUCGACUGCUGUCAGUUUCAGAACAAGACAGGACAUCUGAAGACGUCACUUUGAAGUGAUGAACAUUUCAGUCGAUCAAGAAGUCAUCAGCCAAAAUAACGUGUAGUUGCAGCUGUUCACAUUAAUGUGUAGGUUGACUCACAGACUCUCAUCAGGCUGUGCAGUUCUUUAAGGACCUUCCCGCUGAUCACCGACCAUUUUCCAAAUCAAAUCAACAAAAUUUCACAUCGAUCUCUUCCAGCAGGGAGCCACUAGCUCCUGUUUGUUUGUUCAAGUCCAUUUUCAGUUCACUACAGAGAGAGAGAACUGACAGAAAUCAGAGUCCAUGAGCAGAACCUGACUGGUUAUCAACCAAAAGCUGUUCAGUUUUCAGGCUAUUUAAAAAAAAGCCCAACCUGUCAUUUAUUCAACUCGAGUUAUAUUCUUGUCUCCCUACAUGACGGUCCGGUGCUCCAUGUGUGGUUCUGGUGGCGAGUACUGAAUUUCUUUCAUUUUAAUGAAGCUCGAGUUUUGUCGUCACGUUGUUCCAGUAAACUUCGUGUUAAUCAUGAGAUCUGUUGUCCAAAACUGGAACCGUGAAGACAAACUAUCUGUAAACAUGGAGGGUCCCUGAACACACGAUCAGGGCUGUUCUCACCUGCUCAGGUGUGACAGUGGUUUAUUUUGGAACAUGGUCGGCUCAUUUGGUCCUUUAAUGUGUCAUCGUGUUCACUGUGUGCAGGCUGUGAUCUGAUUGGUCGCUGUGUGGAUGAACAAACAUAUCUUUUUUUGGGGGUGGGUGGAGUCCCUUUUUAUAAAGUUUGGUAACCAUGGUAACGAUGAUGCAUGUGUGGGACUCUUGUUUUUUGGGGUGUCAGAGUUUUAUAAUAUCAGAUGACGGAGUUAGACUUUUUGUCGGGAGAGCAGGGGCUGAUGGGUACUGUAGUUCUGAGUGCACAUGGCUAUCUGGUGAGGAAGGGGGGAGUGAAGAGGGAUUGUUACUAUGGUAAUGUGGUGUGUGUGUGUGCGUGUGUGUGUGUGUGUGCCAAAGGCCUGGAGGACGAGCCAGCUUCAGUAUGAUGUGUGGGUGAUUCAUGUCGGGGUCGAAGGUCAGAUUAUUUAUUUGUGAAUCAGGUGAUGGACGGACUGAAAUAAACUUGUUUAUAUUCUAUAAAUCUAUUAAUUCAAAUGUCUAUAAAACCUGAAACCAAACCGAACUCGUCUGGUUGUAGUUUCAUUAUUGUUCCACAUUA